CGGGAACUCUGACACAGGUGCUGCAUGGCUGUCGUCAGCUCGUGUCGUGAGGAUCGUUGGGUUAAGUCCCGUAACGAGCCGCAACCCUUGUCCUUAGUUACCAGCACGUUAUGGUGGGCACUCUAAGGAGACUGCCGGUGACAAACCGGAGGAAGGUGGGGAUGACGUCAAGUCAUCAUGGCCCUUACGGCCUGGGCUACACACGUGCUACAAUGGUCGGUACAAAGGGUUGCCAAGCCGCGAGGUGGAGCUAAUCCCAAUAAAACCGAUCGUAGUCCGGAUCGCAGUCUGCAACUCGACUGCGUGAAGUCGGAAUCGCUAGUAAUCGUGAAUCAGAAUGUCACGGUGAAUACGUUCCCGGGCCUU
Molecule: ribosomal RNA, 366 nt
Filed under: uncultured Pseudomonas sp.
Lineage: Bacteria; Pseudomonadati; Pseudomonadota; Gammaproteobacteria; Pseudomonadales; Pseudomonadaceae
Description: bacterial SSU rRNA
Rfam family: Bacterial small subunit ribosomal RNA
Source: RNAcentral